RNAcentral lists this microRNA (22 nucleotides) under Salmo salar (Atlantic salmon). RNAcentral's name for it is "ssa-miR-192a-3p". Its record names the gene ssa-miR-192a-3p. Lineage: Eukaryota; Metazoa; Chordata; Actinopteri; Salmoniformes; Salmonidae. The record is from miRBase by way of RNAcentral.
CCUGUCAGUUAUGUAGGCCACU